Molecule: ribosomal RNA, 253 nt
Filed under: uncultured bacterium
Lineage: Bacteria
Description: partial 16S ribosomal RNA
Rfam family: Bacterial small subunit ribosomal RNA
Source: RNAcentral
UACGUAGGCAGCGAGCGUUGUUCGGAAUUACUGGGCGUAAAGAGUGUGUAGGCGGUGCCCUAAGUUCGGUGUGAAAUCUCCUGGCUCAACUGGGAGGGUGCGCCGGAAACUGGGGUGCUCGAGCGUGGGAGAGGAAAGCGGAAUUCCUGGUGUAGCGGUGAAAUGCGUAGAUAUCAGGAAGAACACCAAUGGCGAAGGCAGCUCUCUGGGACGGUACUGACGCUGAGACGCGAAAGCGUGGGGAGCGAACAGG